RNAcentral lists this ribosomal RNA (465 nucleotides) under Vreelandella stevensii. Its description in RNAcentral is "partial 16S ribosomal RNA". It matches the Rfam family "Bacterial small subunit ribosomal RNA", at positions 338 to 795 of the family's 1533-position model. The record is from RNAcentral. Lineage: Bacteria; Pseudomonadati; Pseudomonadota; Gammaproteobacteria; Oceanospirillales; Halomonadaceae.
CCUACGGGGGGCUGCAGUGGGGAAUAUUGGACAAUGGGGGGAACCCUGAUCCAGCCAUGCCGCGUGUGUGAAGAAGGCCCUCGGGUUGUAAAGCACUUUCAGUGAGGAAGAACGCCUGGUGGUUAAUACCCAUCAGGAAAGACAUCACUCACAGAAGAAGCACCGGCUAACUCCGUGCCAGCAGCCGCGGUAAUACGGAGGGUGCGAGCGUUAAUCGGAAUUACUGGGCGUAAAGCGCGCGUAGGUGGCUUGAUAAGCCGGUUGUGAAAGCCCCGGGCUCAACCUGGGAACGGCAUCCGGAACUGUCAAGCUAGAGUGCAGGAGAGGAAGGUAGAAUUCCCGGUGUAGCGGUGAAAUGCGUAGAGAUCUGGAGGAAUACCAGUGGCGAAGGCGGCCUCCUGGACUGACACUGACACUGAGGUGCGAAAGCGUGGGUAGCAAACAGGAUUAGAUACCCUUGUAGUC